AGUAACGUCAAUGAUGCCGGGUAUUAACCGACACCCCUUCCUCCUCGCUGAAAGUGCUUUACAACCCGAAAGCCUUCUUCACACACGCGGCAUGGCUGGAUCAGGGUUGCCCCCCAUUGUCCAAUAUUCCCCA
RNAcentral lists this ribosomal RNA (133 nucleotides) under uncultured bacterium. RNAcentral's name for it is "partial 16S ribosomal RNA". The record is from RNAcentral.